UACGUAGGGACCGAGCGUUGUCCGGAAUCAUUGGGCGUAAAGAGCGUGUAGGCGGCCACUUAAGUCCUGCGUGAAAUCUUGCGGCUCAACCGCAAGCGGUCGUGGGAAACUGGGUGGCUAGAGUGCGGGAGAGGAGAGUGGAAUUCCUGGUGUAGCGGUGGAAUGCGUAGAUAUCUGGAGGAACACCGGUGGCGAAGGCGGCAUCCUGGACCGACACUGACGCUGAGGAGCGAAAGCCAGGGGAGCAAACGGG
This 253-nucleotide ribosomal RNA is filed under the name uncultured bacterium. Its description in RNAcentral is "partial 16S ribosomal RNA". It matches the Rfam family "Bacterial small subunit ribosomal RNA", at positions 524 to 776 of the family's 1533-position model. The record is from RNAcentral.